This 254-nucleotide ribosomal RNA is filed under the name uncultured bacterium. RNAcentral describes it as "partial 16S ribosomal RNA". It matches the Rfam family "Bacterial small subunit ribosomal RNA", at positions 524 to 776 of the family's 1533-position model. The record is from RNAcentral.
UACAGAGGGUGCGAGCGUUGUUCGGAAUUACUGGGCGUAAAGGGCGCGUAGGCGGUCAGCACAAGUCAGUUGUGAAAUCUCCGGGCUUAACUCGGAAAGGUCAACUGAUACUGUGCGACUAGAGUGCGGAAGGGGCAACUGGAAUUCUCGGUGUAGCGGUGAAAUGCGUAGAUAUCGAGAGGAACACCUGCGGCGAAGGCGGGUUGCUGGGCCGACACUGACGCUGAUGCGCGAAAGCGUGGGUAGCAAACAGG